CCUACGGGUGGCAGCAGUGAGGAAUAUUGGUCAAUGGACGAGAGUCUGAACCAGCCAAGUAGCGUGAAGGAUGACUGCCCUAUGGGUUGUAAACUUCUUUUAUAUGGGAAUAAAAUGUUCCACGUGUGGGAUUUUGUAUGUACCAUAUGAAUAAGGAUCGGCUAACUCCGUGCCAGCAGCCGCGGUAAUACGGAGGAUCCGAGCGUUAUCCGGAUUUAUUGGGUUUAAAGGGAGCGUAGGUGGAUUGUUAAGUCAGUUGUGAAAGUUUGCGGCUCAACCGUAAAAUUGCAGUUGAAACUGGCAGUCUUGAGUACAGUAGAGGUGGGCGGAAUUCGUGGUGUAGCGGUGAAAUGCUUAGAUAUCACGAAGAACUCCGAUUGCGAAGGCAGUUCACUGGACUGCAACUGACGCUGAGGCUCGAAAGUGUGGGUAUCAAACAGGAUUAGAUACCCUAGUAGUC
RNAcentral lists this ribosomal RNA (460 nucleotides) under uncultured bacterium. RNAcentral's name for it is "partial 16S ribosomal RNA". It matches the Rfam family "Bacterial small subunit ribosomal RNA", at positions 338 to 795 of the family's 1533-position model. The record is from RNAcentral.